UGGGGAAUAUUGCACAAUGGAGGGAACUCUGAUGCAGCGACGCCGCGUGAACGAAGAAGGCUUUCGAGUCGUAAAGUUCUUUUAUAUGUGAAGAUAAUGACGGUACCAUAAGAAAAAGCCCCGGCUAACUACGUGCCAGCAGCCGCGGUAAUACGUAGGGGGCUAGCGUUGUCCGGAAUCACUGGGCGUAAAGGGUUCGCAGGCGGAAAUGCAAGUCAGGUGUAAAAGGCAGUAGCUUAACUACUGUAAGCAUUUGAAACUGCAUAUCUUGAGAAGAGUAGAGGUAAGUGGAAUUUUUAGUGUAGCGGUGAAAUGCGUAGAUAUUAAAAAGAAUACCGGUGGCGAAGGCGGCUUACUGGGCUCAUUCUGACGCUGAGGAACGAAAGCGUGGGUAGCAAACAGG
This 403-nucleotide ribosomal RNA is filed under the name bacterium. Its description in RNAcentral is "partial 16S ribosomal RNA". It matches the Rfam family "Bacterial small subunit ribosomal RNA", at positions 355 to 776 of the family's 1533-position model. The record is from RNAcentral.